GCGGAUGUGGUGGAAUUGGUAGACACGUAUGCCUUAGGAGCAUAUGCCUCACGGCGUGAAGGUUCAAGUCCUUUCAUCCGCACCA
RNAcentral lists this transfer RNA (85 nucleotides) under TM7 phylum sp. oral taxon 346. RNAcentral's name for it is "tRNA-Leu". It matches the Rfam family "tRNA". From Rfam's summary of the family: Transfer RNA (tRNA) molecules are approximately 80 nucleotides in length. Their secondary structure includes four short double-helical elements and three loops (D, anti-codon, and T loops). The record is from RNAcentral. RNAcentral also lists the same sequence under 12 other names. Lineage: Bacteria; Candidatus Saccharimonadota.